GUAGGUGAACCUGCGGAAGGAUCAUUAACACGUAUCCAACGUUAAAACCCCCCUGUGAACCUUCAGUGUGCUCGUAUGCUUUGUUAGAAAGUAGCAAUUCCUGGUAAAUCAUCGCCGAACAGUUUUGAUUCAGGAACUUCUGCGAAGAGUGUGCUUGUAGCGCGAGGCAAGUGGCCUGGCAUCCCGAAGCGGUUAAUGUCUGAAAGUGUCAUUAGCUUUCUAAGGAUGGCGCAGUCACGAUCGCUAGAGGCCAACACGGCCGGCGACCGGGUCACCGGGCUCACGCCCCCUAAUAACCUUUGCAUGAAAACGGGCCUGCGCUUAAUUGUGCGGCCAUAAACCGAACAACUGUUAACAAUGGAUAUCUUGGUUCUC
RNAcentral lists this unclassified non-coding RNA (375 nucleotides) under rhizosphere metagenome. Its description in RNAcentral is "partial ribosomal RNA internal transcribed spacer region". The record is from RNAcentral.